CCGGCGCACGGGUGAGUAACGCGUAUCCAACCUGCCCACCACUUGGGGAUAACCUUGCGAAGGUAAGACUAAUACCCAAUGAUAUCUCUAGAAGACAUCUGAAAGAGAUUAAAGAUUCAUCGGUGAUGGAUGGGGAUGCGUCUGAUUAGCUUGUUGGCGGGGUAACGGCCCACCAAGGCAACGAUCAGUAGGGGUUCUGAGAGGAAGGUCCCCCACAUUGGAACUGAGACACGGUCCAA
RNAcentral lists this ribosomal RNA (239 nucleotides) under uncultured bacterium. Its description in RNAcentral is "partial 16S ribosomal RNA". It matches the Rfam family "Bacterial small subunit ribosomal RNA", at positions 95 to 334 of the family's 1533-position model. The record is from RNAcentral.